Molecule: ribosomal RNA, 626 nt
Filed under: uncultured archaeon
Lineage: Archaea
Description: bacterial SSU rRNA
Rfam family: Archaeal small subunit ribosomal RNA
Source: RNAcentral
UAAUAAUCCAUAGAUCAUAGAUUGUGGAACGAAUUAUGGUCGAAAGUUCCGGCGCUUUAGGAUUGGUCUGCGGCCUAUCAGGUAGUAGUGGGUGUAACGGACCCACUAGCCAGUGACGGGUAUGGGCCUUGAGAGAGGGAGCCCAGAGAUGGAUUGUGAGACACGAAUCCAGGCCCUACGGGGCGCAGCAGUCGCGAAAACUUCACAAUGGGGGCAACCCCGAUGAGGGAAUUCCUAGUGCUGACACUUUUUUGUGUCAGCUUUUCUUUAGCGUAGAUAACUAGAGGAAUAAGGGCUGGGUAAGACGGGUGCCAGCCGCCGCGGUAAUACCCGCAGCCCGAGUGGUGGUCGACUUUAUUGAGUCUAAAACGUUCGUAGCCGGUUCGCUAAAUCCUUGGGUAAAUCGGAAAGCUUAACUUUCCGAAUUCCGAGGAGACUGGCGAACUUGGGACCGGGAGAGGCAAGAGGUACUUGGGGGGUAGGGGUAAAAUCCUGUAAUCCUCCAAGGACCACCGGUGGCGUAGGCGUCUUGCUAGAACGGAUCCGACGGUGAGGGACGAAGCCCUGGGUCGCAAACGGGAUUAGAUACCCCGGUAGUCCAGGGUGUAACGCUGCAGACUUGGUGU